RNAcentral lists this unclassified non-coding RNA (337 nucleotides) under uncultured fungus. Its description in RNAcentral is "partial contains 5.8S ribosomal RNA and internal transcribed spacer 2". The stretch from base 1 to 133 matches the Rfam family "5.8S ribosomal RNA", at positions 22 to 154 of the family's 154-position model. Lineage: Eukaryota; Fungi. The record is from RNAcentral.
UGGCUCUGGCAUCGAUGAAGAACGCAGCGAAAUGCGAUAAGUAAUGUGAAUUGCAGAAUUCAGUGAAUCAUCGAAUCUUUGAACGCACAUUGCGCCCGCCAGUAUUCUGGCGGGCAUGCCUGUUCGAGCGUCAUUUCAACCCUCAGGCCCCCAGCGCCUGGUGUUGGGGAUCGGCCUCCGGCGCUCGUCGCCCGGCCGGCCCCUAAAUCGAGUGGCGGUCCCGCCGCAGACCUCUGCGUAGUAGCACAAACCUCGCAGCUGGAAAGCGACGGCGACCACGCCGUGAAACACCCCACUUCUGAAAGUUGACCUCGGAUCAGGUAGGAAUACCCGCUGA